Molecule: ribosomal RNA, 456 nt
Filed under: uncultured Lactobacillales bacterium
Lineage: Bacteria; Bacillati; Bacillota; Bacilli; Lactobacillales
Description: bacterial SSU rRNA
Rfam family: Bacterial small subunit ribosomal RNA (bases 118-456)
Source: RNAcentral
UCACGGGUAUAGGAAAGGGGCACCGAUGCGUACAGGAUAGUCACUGGAGAGGCUCUCCGAUGAGAAGAAGGUUGGAGGGUUUCCGCCCUUAGUGCCGCACUAACGAUAAAAGGGGCCUGGGAGACGACGCAAGGUUGAAACUCAAAGGAAUUGACGGGGGCCCGCACAAGCGGUGGAGCAUGUGGUUUAAUUCGAAGCUACGCGAAGAACCUUACCAGGUCUUGACAUCUUCUGCCAACCUAAGAGAUUAGGCUUUCCCUUCGGGGACAGAAUGACAGGUGGUGCAUGGUUGUCGUCAGCUCGUGUCGUGAGAUGUUGGGUUAAGUCCCGUUACGAGCUCAUCCCUUAUUACUAGUUGCCAGCAUUUUUUUGGGCACUCUAGCAAGACUGCCGGUGACAAACCGGAGGAAGGUGGGGAUGACGUCAAAUCAUCAUGCCCCUUAUGACUUGGGCUAA